UUAGUGGCGAACGGGUGAGUAAUGUAUGAGCAACCUGCCUCUAUCAACGGGAUAACACUUAGAAAUAGGUGCUAAUACGGUAUAAGACCACGGUAUCGCAUGGUAUUGCGGUAAAAGAUUUUAUCGGAUAGAGAUGGGCUCAUAUCCCAUUAGGUAGUUGGUGAGAUAACAGCCCACCAAGCCUGCGAUGGGUAGCCGAGCUGAGAGGCUGAUCGGCCACAUUGGGACUGAAACACGGCCCAGACUCCUACGGGAGGCAGCAGUGGGGAAUAUUGGGCAAUGGAGGCAACUCUGACCCAGCAAUGCCGCGUGAGUGAUGAAGGUCUUUUGAUUGUAAAGCUCUUUUCUUGGGAACGAAGUUCUGACGGUACCCAAGGAAUAAGCCCCGGCUAACUACGUGCCAGCAGCCGCGGUAAUACGUAGGGGGCGAGCGUUGUCCGGAAUGACUGGGCGUAAAGGGUGUGUAGGCGGUUCGGUAAGUUAGAAGUGUAAUACCCAGGGCUUAACUCGGGUGCUGCUUCUAAAACUGCCGGACUUGAGUGCUGGAGAGGAUAGUGGAAUUCCUAGUGUAGCGGUGGAAUGCGUAGAUAUUAGGAGGAACAUCAGUGGC
This 610-nucleotide ribosomal RNA is filed under the name uncultured bacterium. Its description in RNAcentral is "bacterial SSU rRNA". It matches the Rfam family "Bacterial small subunit ribosomal RNA", at positions 92 to 716 of the family's 1533-position model. The record is from RNAcentral.